This 3513-nucleotide long non-coding RNA is filed under the name Prunus persica (peach). RNAcentral describes it as "long non-coding RNA (PPER_LNC004048)". The record is from RNAcentral. Lineage: Eukaryota; Viridiplantae; Streptophyta; Magnoliopsida; Rosales; Rosaceae.
CUGAAGGAGGUGCUCACGGUGGACGCGUUGCAGACACGCGACAAGAAGGUGGCGGCGAAGAAGGAGAUCAAGGCCCGGUUGGAGGACCGGUUCAAGAGUGGCAAGAACCGGUGGUUCUUUACCAAGCUUAGGUUCUGAGUCGUUGGCUCCCUCUCUAUGUUUUUCCAAUUUUGGUUGUUAUGUGAUACUAGCAUAUAAUUUUGAGGAUUAUUAUUGCGAGUUUUGUUUUAAAUUUGUGCUUAAUUUUCUGUUCAUUUUUCCCAAGAAAUAUAUUUGAAAAUCACUAUGAACUAACUAACUGUCAAUUAGAUUAGAUAUAUCAAUGGCCUUUGAAUCUAGCAAAUAAUAGUUUAAGUAAUUUAAAAAAAAAAUGCAAACAUAAAAUAUGUGUUAAUAAUAGUAAGAUAUUUCUUAGCUUCUUCUUCUUUGACUUUGAAAGCAUCAUCAACCAAUCAACUUCCCACAAAAUACCCAAUGCCACGUGUACUAUAUUGACGCGCCCCUUUGGUUCUGGCGGCUGCCAGCCAAGUACGAAAUAUUGAAAAUGUGGUAUAGAAAUGUUGUAAAAGUAGAAUUAUCCAUAAGAGUAAGACUCUCUAGCCAGAAAACCAAAAUAUUUGUUUAAGCUCUCCUCCAAUCAAUUUUUUUCCCCAAACGAAAGAAAGUUUAUUAAAGUCGAAGGGAAAGGUUUAUAAAAAACUCACUCAGGCCAGACUUGGUUCCAUAUGGUUAUCUCCUACUUUUGACACAAAAACCGGAACCUAGUGCGUUGCCUUAUUACACUGAAGGGGAGUAUCUUUGAAAACUACCUGCUGCAACUGUCCAGCAAGCAUCUGGAUAUCAAAAACAAUCUAAGCUCUCCUCCUAUCUUCAUCUCCUACAGUAUCAAUCUUUAGCGUAUAUUAUAUAGACUGCUCAUCAUGAGUCACGACCACCACCAUCAUCACCAGGCUCCAGGUAAAUUACCAAAUUGCUUAUACUAUCUUAAUCUCCUACACUAUCAAUCUUUAGCAUAUAUAUAUAUAUAUAUAUAUAUAUACUGCUUAUAUAUAUAUAUAGUUUGUUUACUUUGUUCAUGAUCAAAUAUCAACGUUUGUGUUUACCAAAUUGCAGAGGUAUAUCCACCACCACCACCUUCCGGUGCAGUUCACGGAAACAGUCAUGGUGGUCCAUAUGUUGUUGCACCACCAGUUGCUUACCCCAUGAAAAAUGAUGGUCCUGAAUGCCCCCAACAACCACCUCCCUGCCCCGAGCCUGCAGAGUCUCAUCAUCGUAAGGGUGCUGGAUUUUGCACAGGAUGGUAAUUGAACAUUGUCAACCCCUUAAAUUACAUUUUUCUCAAGUAAAAUAAAGGGCUAAUAUGUUAUCAUGUUUAUACCUAAUUCCAUAUUGGUUUCUUUGUAUCGACAGUUGUUUUGCCUUGUGUAGCUGCUUUUGCGACUUGUGUUGCAUGCAGUGGCAGACCUAUUAAGGAGAAAGGAAGUACAGCUGCACCUCCCUCUUUGAAAAAUCACCUAAAGAGGUCGGAGUUUGCCCCUUUUGUGGUGCUCACCCUAAACCCUAAACCAUCCCUUCCUCUCACCUCAUGUCAUCAUGAGCAAUAGUACUCGUUCAUAUAAUUUUGAGGAGGAUUAUUAUUGCAAGUUUUGGUUUAAAUUUGUGCUUAAUUUUGUGUUCAUGAAUUAUAUUUAAAAAUCACUAUGAACUAUCAGUCGAUUGUUACAUUGCAUGAUUUUGAUGUCCGUUUAUAAAUAGGUUAGAUAUAUCAACUAUGACAUAAUGUGCCUAAAGCAUUGGUAGUAAAACUCAACCGGGACAGUUAAGUUAUAUACAAGGCCACUGAUGAUGCAUCUGACUUAUAUUCAGGCAUCGACCGACACGCUUAGAGCAUUACAUGCUGCUUCCCCUCAUUCUGAGGGUGAACAGUAACAGUUGCACAGGCCUCAGCUCCCACAUCAGAAACAGAUAUAGAGCUUACCAUUGGCCAUUCUGCUGAUUCUGCUAAUUUUUCAAUUCAUGUGUCACUAUUUUGUGAGUCCACAUGAACUCAUUAAUUGUCACUUCAUCGUUUAACAAAACAUUUGACGGUGACAAAUGUAUGAUUAUGGAUUAGUAAGAAAAUUAAAUUUUAGGUACGAAAAAAAGUUGAAGUAGUAAGAAUUAAAUUUUAGAAAACUUUCAGAUAGUAAAGUGAAAUUCACGCUACAUAAAUUCUUUAUUUAUUUUGACAUAACCUUUCAUUUUGGAGAAAUUUUGUGUCCAGAUUUCAAACGGCUCCAUGUUGGUCUUCACUACGAUGCAGAGGCAUUCUUUGUUUGUCUCUUAUAAGAGUGUAACCCUUUUCCAAAAUAAUUUACAUUAGCUACAUUGUUUUAUAUUAAAAUAUUAAGAUAUUUCUUAGCUUCUUCUUCUUCUUUGACUUUGAAAGCAUCAUCAACCAAUCAACUUCCCACAAAAUACCCAAUGCCACGUGUACUAUAUUGACGCGUCCCUCUGGUUUUGGUGGCUGCCAGCCCAGUACGAAAUAUUCAUAAGAGAAAGACUAGUCUAGCCAGAAAACCAAAAUAUUUGUAUAAGCUCUCCACCUAUCUUUUUUCAUUUCCCCAAACGAAAAAAAGGUUUAUUAAAGAGAAUGGAAAGGUUUACAUCACUGACAAAAAUAUCUAAAAUCCGCUCAGGCUAGGCCACACUUGUACCAAACAUGCUUCUCAAGUCAAAAAUCCACUAAGACCACACUUGGUUCUAAACAUGACGCUUGUUCCAAACAUGCUUCUCAAAAAUCCACAACAUGCUUCUCAAAAAUCCACUCAGGCCACACUUGGUUCUAAACAUGGUUACCUCCUACUUUUGACACAAAGGCCGCAACCUGGUGCGCUGCCUUAUUACACUGGCGGGGAGUAUCUUUGAAAACAUGCAACUGUCCAGCAAGCAUCUGGAUAUCAAAAACAAUCUAAUUAAGCUCUCCUCCUAUCUUCGUCUCCUACAGUAUCAAUCUUUAGCAUAUAUUAUAUAGAUUGCUCAUCAUGAGUCACGACCAGCACCAUCAUCAUCAGGCUCCAGGUAAAUUACCAGUUAAUGUCUGUUUAUGUGAUUUAAUUGUCUAAUUAAUCCCAUUUAAUAUGUUACUUAGAUUAAUAAACUAAGAUACGAGGUUGAAUAUUGCAAUAUGCAAACACAACUAUCAAAGUCUCAAACAUUAGAGGGGUUUUCACUUCUGAUCUACAUACAAAUUAAACCUUGCUUUGUACUUAUUUGGUGUCCCCAACAAAAUGACAUGCUUUAAAUUGUUACAAAUUAAGUGUUUAUGAACAUAUUUUAUAUAUAUAUAUAUAUAUAUAUAUAUAUCAACGUUUGUGUUCAACUUUGUUCAUGAUCAAAUAUCAACGUUUGUGUUUACCAAAUUGCAGAGGUAUAUCCACCACCACCACCUUCCGGUGCAGUUCACGAAUACAAUCAAGGUGGUCCAUAUGUUGUUGCACCACCAGUUGCUUACCCCAUGAAACAUGAUGGUCC